This 546-nucleotide long non-coding RNA is filed under the name Crocodylus porosus (Australian saltwater crocodile). RNAcentral describes it as "lncRNA (ENSCPRG00005005238.1)". The record is from RNAcentral. Lineage: Eukaryota; Metazoa; Chordata; Crocodylia; Crocodylidae.
CCUUUCUUUUCCUUUCCUUUUCUUUUCUUUCCUUUCCUUUCCUUGAAAAGGCCAGAUGCUUUUUAUUCACUGUGAAAGAUACAAAUAUACUGCAGAAAGCAUGUGCAAUAAAAGCCUAAGGAUACUUUACUUGAAACACUGAAUAAAUUCUGUUUCAGUGCUAUCCUAUCCCUUUGAAUCUCACCGUAUGUUUUCCCAGGGUUUCUAUCUCUGCAUUUUGUAUUUACUGUGCACUCUAGCAUGUUCAACAGUGCCCCAAGCAAUAUAUAGGAUUUCAAGCAAAUGGAAGGUGCACUGUGUCCCCAUCAGGACAAUGGGGCUACUGAGUAGCAAGUGAACAGGGCUGGGCAGGGAGACGCUGACACUGGAUGGUCCAGCUCUGCAUCCUUCCAAGAGCAACGAUGGAGAGGGAAGUGGGAACUGCCUCUCUGCACAAGUUCAGGCUUAUGGGCGAUAAUAGGACAUCUGCAAAAUCUGAACAGUUUCUUGAUGGGAGAAUCGCUGUCUUAAUCUCACUUUCACUUUUAUUAUUUGCCUUAAUUCUUU